AACGAACGCUGGCGGCAUGCCUAACACAUGCAAGUCGAACGAGACCUUCGGGUCUAGUGGCGCACGGGUGCGUAACGCGUGGGAACCUGCCCUUAGGUUCGGAAUAACUCCCCGAAAGGGGUGCUAAUACCGGAUAAUGUCUUCGGACCAAAGAUUUAUCGCCUUUGGAUGGGCCCGCGUUGGUUUAGCUAGUUGGUAGGGUAAAAGCCUACCAAGGCGACGAUCCAUAGCUGGUCUGAGAGGAUGAUCAGCCACACUGGGACUGAGACACGGCCCAGACUCCUACGGGAGGCAGCAGUGGGGAAUAUUGGACAAUGGGCGAAAGCCUGAUCCAGCAAGGCCGCGUGAGUGAUGAAGGCCUGAGGGUUGUAAAGCUCGUUUACCCGGGAUGAUAAUGACAGUACCGGGAGAAUAAGCGCCGGCUAACUCCGUG
Molecule: ribosomal RNA, 433 nt
Filed under: uncultured bacterium
Lineage: Bacteria
Description: partial 16S ribosomal RNA
Rfam family: Bacterial small subunit ribosomal RNA
Source: RNAcentral